AGUGAACGCUGGCGGUAGGCCUAACACAUGCAAGUCGAACGGCAGCACAGUAAGAGCUUGCUCUUACGGGUGGCGAGUGGCGGACGGGUGAGGAAUACAUCGGAAUCUACUUUUUCGUGGGGGAUAACGUAGGGAAACUUACGCUAAUACCGCAUACGACCUACGGGUGAAAGCAGGGGAUCUUCGGACCUUGCGCGAUUGAAUGAGCCGAGGUCGGAUUAGCUAGUUGGCGGGGUAAAGGCCCACCAAGGCGACGAUCCGUAGCUGGUCUGAGAGGAUGAUCAGCCACACUGGAACUGAGACACGGUCCAGACUCCUACGGGAGGCAGCAGUGGGGAAUAUUGGACAAUAGGCGCAAGCCUGAUCCAGCCAUACCGCGUGUGUGAAGAAGGCCUUCGGGUUGUAAAGCCCUUUUGUUGGGAAAGAAAAGCAGCAGGUUAAUACCCCGCUGUUCUGACGGUACCCAAAGAAUAAGCACCGGCUAACUUCGUG
This 492-nucleotide ribosomal RNA is filed under the name uncultured bacterium. RNAcentral's name for it is "partial 16S ribosomal RNA". It matches the Rfam family "Bacterial small subunit ribosomal RNA", at positions 29 to 507 of the family's 1533-position model. The record is from RNAcentral.